Molecule: ribosomal RNA, 602 nt
Filed under: Narcissea cordispora
Lineage: Eukaryota; Fungi; Basidiomycota; Agaricomycetes; Agaricales; Psathyrellaceae
Description: eukaryotic LSU rRNA
Rfam family: Eukaryotic large subunit ribosomal RNA
Source: RNAcentral
UUGACCUCAAAUCAGGUAGGACUACCCGCUGAACUUAAGCAUAUCAAUAAGCGGAGGAAAAGAAACUAACAAGGAUUCCCCUAGUAACUGCGAGUGAAGCGGGAAAAGCUCAAAUUUAAAAUCUGGUGGUCUUUGGCCAUCCGAGUUGUAAUCUAGAGAAGUGUUACCCGCGUCGGACCGUGUACAAGUCUCCUGGAAUGGAGCGUCAUAGAGGGUGAGAAUCCCGUCUUUGACACGGACUACCGAGGCUUUGUGGUGCGCUCUCAAAGAGUCGAGUUGUUUGGGAAUGCAGCUCAAAAUGGGUGGUAAAUUCCAUCUAAAGCUAAAUAUUGGCGAGAGACCGAUAGCGAACAAGUACCGUGAGGGAAAGAUGAAAAGAACUUUGGAAAGAGAGUUAAACAGUACGUGAAAUUGCUGAAAGGGAAACGCUUGAAGUCAGUCGCGUUGGCCGGAAAUCAGCCUUGCUUUAGUGAGGUGUACUUUCUGGUUGACGGGCCAGCAUCAGUUUUGACCGGUGGAAAAAGUCGAGAGGAAGGUGGCAUCUUCGGGUGUGUUAUAGCCUCUCGUCGUAUACAUCGGUUGGGACUGAGGAACGCAGUACU